AUACGUGGGGGGCGAGCGUUGUCCGGAAUGAUUGGGCGUAAAGGGCGCGUAGGCGGCCCGGUAAGUCUGGAGUGAAAGUCCUGUUUUUAAGAUGGGAAUUGCUUUGGAUACUGUCGGGCUUGAGUGCAGGAGAGGUAAGUGGAAUUCCCAGUGUAGCGGUGAAAUGCGUAGAGAUUGGGAGGAACACCAGUGGCGAAGGCGACUUACUGGACUGUAACUGACGCUGAGGCGCGAAAGUGUGGGGAGCAAACAGGAUUAGAUACCCUGGUAGUCCACACUGUAAACGAUGAAUGCUAGGUGUAGGGGGUAUCGACCCCUUCUGUGCCGCAGUCAACACAAUAAGCAUUCCGCCUGGGGAGUACGGCCGCAAGGUUGAAACUCAAAUGAAUUGGCGGGG
Molecule: ribosomal RNA, 397 nt
Filed under: uncultured bacterium
Lineage: Bacteria
Description: partial 16S ribosomal RNA
Rfam family: Bacterial small subunit ribosomal RNA
Source: RNAcentral